ACUAAGCGGAGGAAAAGAAACUAACAAGGAUUCCCUCAGUAACGGCGAGUGAACAGGGAAAAGCCCAACACCGAAGCCUGUGGCUGUUUGGUCACUAGGCAAUGUGGUGUUUAGGUCGUUCCGCAGAAACGCUGCUCCAACCCUAAGUCCAACAAUGAGUACGGUUACUUGGACAUGGCCCAAGGAGGGUGAAAGGCCCGUGUGGGUGGAGAUCAGGCAGGCCAGUGUUUCUCUGGGUAGACCUUGGAGUCGGGUUGUUUGUGAAUGCAGCCCAAAGUGGGUGGUAAACUCCAUCCAAGGCUAAAUACUAGCACGAGUCCGAUAGCGAACAAGUACCGUGAGGGAAAGUUGAAAAGUACUUUGAAGAGAGAGUAAACAGUGCGUGAAACCGCUCAGAGGUAAACGGGUGGAGUUGAACUGCAAGCUCUGGGAAUUCAGGUGGUGAGUAUGAUUUGGGCUUGGUCAAAAUGGUUGUUGUCUGGGGUCUGAGUAGCAUCAGGUCUCUGCCUUCGGGUGGGGAUGUGCGAGACACUUAUCAAGUGUUGUGCGCCCUGGAGCAAUCGAGCCUACUUGCCAGUGCACUUUCUCAGAGUGGUCACCACGACCGGCACUGCUGUCUGGCUGUUGUGGUUAAACCGGUCUUGCAUUGGCCUUGUGUCUUUGUUUGGUCGGGAUGGCAGGUAGCCCGUUGGCCAGUCUGUGGUUCGCUACGGAUGUAUGGCUUUCGGGUGUAAUCAGCUGACUAUGAUGGUUCUGUGCAGUGUGUCGGAGACGGCGGCUUGUGGUGCGCGCAUGCGUGGCUUUAUGCUGGCGGGUCUGAGUUUGGUUGCUAUGUUGCUUGUUCAAGCAGGCCUGGCGAUGGCUCGGAUUUGUUCGGUGUUUGGUAGCGUGUGUUGUGCUGUUACCAGGGCCAAUAGUCUGUGGUGUAGUGGUAGACGAUCCACCUGACCCGUCUUGAAACACGGACCAAGGAGAGUAACAUGUGCGCGAGUCAUUGGGCGUAACGAAACCCACAGGCGCAGUGAAAGUAAAGGUUUGGCUUGUCCAGACUGAGGUGAGAUCCUGUCGUUUCUCACGCGCGGUACUACCAAGCAUCGAACGGCAGGCGCAUCACCGGCCCGUCCCAUGGCGUAGUCAUGUUGUCUUCGGAUGUAGUGCACCGUCGGGGCGGAGCUUGAGCGUACAUGUUGAGACCCGAAAGAUGGUGAACUAUGCUUGCGCAGGUUGAAGCCAGAGGAAACUCUGGUGGAGGACCGCAGCGAUUCUGACGUGCAAAUCGAUCGUCAAACGUGAGUAUAGGGGCGAAAGACUAAUCGAACCAUCUAGUAGCUGGUUCCCUCCGAAGUUUCCCUCAGGAUAGCAACA
This 1365-nucleotide ribosomal RNA is filed under the name Stephanostomum pristis. RNAcentral describes it as "eukaryotic LSU rRNA". It matches the Rfam family "Eukaryotic large subunit ribosomal RNA", at positions 45 to 986 of the family's 3401-position model. The record is from RNAcentral. Lineage: Eukaryota; Metazoa; Platyhelminthes; Trematoda; Opisthorchiida; Acanthocolpidae.